RNAcentral lists this ribosomal RNA (253 nucleotides) under uncultured bacterium. RNAcentral's name for it is "partial 16S ribosomal RNA". It matches the Rfam family "Bacterial small subunit ribosomal RNA", at positions 524 to 776 of the family's 1533-position model. The record is from RNAcentral.
UACAGGGGGUGCAAACGUUGCUCGGAAUUACUGGGCGUAAAGCGUGCGCAGGCGGCGCGUUAAGACAGGUGUGAAAGCCCCGAGCUUAACUUGGGAAUUGCGCUUGUGACUGGCGUGCUGGAGUGUGGCAGAGGGAGGUGGAAUUCCACGUGUAGCAGUGAAAUGCGUAGAGAUGUGGAGGAACACCAGUGGCGAAGGCGGCUUUCUGGUCUGUAACUGACGCUGAGGCGCGAAAGCGUGGGGAGCAAACAGG